ACUUGGUGAUGUGGGCAUUUGUGCAAGAGGUCCCUAAAGCACUCCCAUCUCUCAAAAAACAGUUCCCCAUUUAAUUAUGAGAAACUAGUGACUGCCUUCCUCGACU
Malania oleifera is the source of this 106-nucleotide small nucleolar RNA. The record is from RefSeq and is a predicted model, not a curated record. Lineage: Eukaryota; Viridiplantae; Streptophyta; Magnoliopsida; Santalales; Ximeniaceae.